RNAcentral lists this ribosomal RNA (255 nucleotides) under uncultured bacterium. Its description in RNAcentral is "partial 16S ribosomal RNA". It matches the Rfam family "Bacterial small subunit ribosomal RNA", at positions 524 to 777 of the family's 1533-position model. The record is from RNAcentral.
UACGGAGGGUGCAAGCGUUAUCCGGAUUUACUGGGUUUAAAGGGUGCGUAGGUGGGUAGGUAAGUCAGUGGUGAAAUCUUCGAGCUUAACUCGGAAACUGCCAUUGAUACUAUUUAUCUUGAAUACUUUGGAGGUAAGCGGAAUAUGUCAUGUAGCGGUGAAAUGCUUAGAUAUGACAUAGAACACCAAUUGCGAAGGCAGCUUACUACACAGUCAUUGACACUGAGGCACGAAAGCGUGGGGAGUCAAACAGGA